RNAcentral lists this ribosomal RNA (595 nucleotides) under Trichoderma sp. QTYC20. Its description in RNAcentral is "eukaryotic LSU rRNA". The stretch from base 208 to 361 matches the Rfam family "5.8S ribosomal RNA". The record is from RNAcentral. Lineage: Eukaryota; Fungi; Ascomycota; Sordariomycetes; Hypocreales; Hypocreaceae.
GGGGUCACCGGAGUUUUAACUCCCAAACCCAUGUGACGUUACCAAACUGUUGCCUCGGCGGGAUCUCUGCCCCGGGUGCGUCGCAGCCCCGGACCAAGGCGCCCGCCGGAGGACCAACCAAAACUCUUAUUGUAUACCCCCUCGCGGGUUUUUUUUAUAAUCUGAGCCUUCUCGGCGCCUCUCGUAGGCGUUUCGAAAAUGAAUCAAAACUUUCAACAACGGAUCUCUUGGUUCUGGCAUCGAUGAAGAACGCAGCGAAAUGCGAUAAGUAAUGUGAAUUGCAGAAUUCAGUGAAUCAUCGAAUCUUUGAACGCACAUUGCGCCCGCCAGUAUUCUGGCGGGCAUGCCUGUCCGAGCGUCAUUUCAACCCUCGAACCCCUCCGGGGGGUCGGCGUUGGGGAUCGGCCCUGCCUUGGCGGCGGCCGUCUCCGAAAUACAGUGGCGGUCUCGCCGCAGCCUCUCCUGCGCAGUAGUUUGCACACUCGCAUCGGGAGCGCGGCGCGUCCACAGCCGUUAAACACCCAACUUCUGAAAUGUUGACCUCGGAUCAGGUAGGAAUACCCGCUGAACUUAAGCAUAUCAAUAAGCGGAGGAA